GGUCGAUUGUGCUGGUUUUGAAAACCAGAAUACUAAAUUUAACAGUAUCAGAGGUUCGAAUCCUCUUUUAUCCG
RNAcentral lists this transfer RNA (74 nucleotides) under Jaagichlorella hainangensis. RNAcentral's name for it is "tRNA-Phe". It matches the Rfam family "tRNA", at positions 17 to 71 of the family's 71-position model. From Rfam's summary of the family: Transfer RNA (tRNA) molecules are approximately 80 nucleotides in length. Their secondary structure includes four short double-helical elements and three loops (D, anti-codon, and T loops). Further hydrogen bonds mediate the characteristic L-shaped molecular structure. tRNAs have two regions of fundamental functional importance: the anti-codon, which is responsible for specific mRNA codon recognition, and the 3' end, to which the tRNAs corresponding amino acid is attached (by aminoacyl-tRNA synthetases). tRNAs cope with the degeneracy of the genetic code in two manners: having more than one tRNA (with a specific anti-codon) for a particular amino acid; and 'wobble' base-pairing, i.e. permitting non-standard base-pairing at the 3rd anti-codon position. The record is from RNAcentral. Lineage: Eukaryota; Viridiplantae; Chlorophyta; Trebouxiophyceae; Watanabeales; Watanabeaceae.